This 460-nucleotide ribosomal RNA is filed under the name uncultured bacterium. RNAcentral's name for it is "partial 16S ribosomal RNA". It matches the Rfam family "Bacterial small subunit ribosomal RNA", at positions 338 to 795 of the family's 1533-position model. The record is from RNAcentral.
CCUACGGGUGGCAGCAGUGAGGAAUAUUGGUCAAUGGGCGUAAGCCUGAACAAGCCAAGUCGCGUGAGGGAUGAAGGUUCUAUGGAUCGUAAACCUCUUUUAUAAGGGAAGAAAGGGCGGGACGGGUCCCGUUUUGUAUGUACCUUAUGAAUAAGGAUCGGCUAACUCCGGGCCAGCAGCCGCGGUAAUAGGGAGGAUCCGAGCGUUAUACGGAUGUAGUGGGUUGAAAGGGUGCGUAGGCGGCUUUUUAAGUCAGCGGUGAAAGUCUGUGGCUCAACCAUAGAAUAGCCGUUGAAACUGGGCGGCUUGAUUAUGUUUGAGGCAGGCGGAAUGCGUGGUGUAGCGGUGAAAUGCUUAGAUAUCACGCAGAACCCCGAUUGCGAAGGCAGCCUGCCAAGCCAUGACUGACGCUGAUGCACGAAAGCGUGGGGAUCAAACAGGAUUAGAUACCCGGGUAGUC